UACAGAGGGGGCAAGCGUUGUUCGGAAUUACUGGGCGUAAAGGGCGCGUAGGUGGCAUGAUAAGGGUGUGGUGAAAGCCCGGGGCUCAACCCCGGGUCUGCCAUGCCGACUGUCACGCUAGAGUACUGUAGGGGCAGGCGGAAUUCCGGGUGUAGCGGUGGAGUGCGUAGAGAUCCGGAAGAACACCAGUGGCGAAGGCGGUCUGCUGGGCAGUUGCUGACACUGAUGCGCGACAGCGUGGGGAGCAAACAGG
Molecule: ribosomal RNA, 253 nt
Filed under: uncultured bacterium
Lineage: Bacteria
Description: partial 16S ribosomal RNA
Rfam family: Bacterial small subunit ribosomal RNA
Source: RNAcentral